CCUCGUACACCUGGAUCAGGACGCCCGGCUGGUUGUCCGAGUAGGUGGAGAAGACCUGCUCCUUCUUGGUGGGGAUGGUGGUGUUCCUCGGGAUGAGCGUCGUCAUGACGCCGCCGGCGGUCUCCAGACCCAGGGACAGCGGCGUCACAUCGAGCAGCAGCAGGUCCUGCACCUUCUCGUUGCCCUCGCCGCUCAGGAUGGCGGCCUGGACGGAGGCGCCAUACGCCACUGCCUCGUCAGGGUUGAUGCUCUUGCACAGCUCCUUGCCGUUGAAGAAGUCCUGCAGCAACUGCUGCACCUUGGGGAUACGGGUGGAGCCACCGACCAGCACCACGUCGUGCACGGUGCUCUUGUCCAUCUUGGCGUCGCGGAGGCACUUCUCCACCGGCUCCAUGCACUUGCGGAAGAGGUCCAUGUUGAGCUCCUCAAAGCGAGCCCGGGUGAUGGUGGUGUAGAAGUCCACACCCUCGUACAGCGAGUCGAUCUCGAUGGUGGUCUGGGCCGUCGACGACAGCGUGCGCUUGGCACGUUCGCACGCCGUCCGGAGACGACGCAGAGCGCGGGGGUUGCCGGUGAUGUCCUUCUUGUGCUUGCGCUUGAACUCCUGGACGAAGUGGUUCACCAUGCGGUUGUCGAAGUCCUCUCCACCCAGGUGAGUGUCACCGGCGGUGGCCUUCACCUCGAAGAUGCCCUCCUCGAUGGUCAGCAGAGACACAUCGAAGGUGCCACCACCAAGGUCAAAGAUGAGGACGUUCUUCUCGCCAGUGCUGGUCGCCUUCUUGUCAAGGCCAUAGGCGAUGGCAGCAGCAGUGGGCUCGUUGAUGAUGCGCAGCACGUUCAGCCCGGCGAUAGCACCGGCGUCCUUGGUGGCCUGGCGCUGGGAGUCGUUGAAGUAGGCCGGGACGGUGACCACGGCGUUCUUGACAGAGUUGCCGAGGAAGGCCUCAGCAAUCUCCCUCAUCUUGAUGAGCACCAUGGAGGAGAUCUCCUCCGCUGCGAACUGUUUCUCCUCGCCCUUGUAGUUGACGACGAUCAUGGGCUUGUCUGCCGGGCCAGGGAUGACCUUGAAGGGCCACAGCUUCAUGUCACUCUGCACGGAGGGAUCAGAGAACCUCCUGCCAAUCAGCCGCUUCGCAUCUGCAACCGGAAACAGAGGAACAGAACAUUUGAGUUGCAUGGUUCAGCAAUGAACUGAAAUGAAGCAGAACAUUUCAAGAUUCCACAGAGAUUAAUAAUCCAAGCAAGCUGUUUCUUCAGAACAAGGAGGUGCAUUCAGUAAGCUACUGCAGACUGGGACUGUUCCAGAAGGAUAACCGAGAACAGAAAUUUAAAAUUAACAAGCAUAAUUUCAAUCCUAAGGUAGCUUGCGAGUUGCGAACAUAAUUCAAACUGAAACUUCUGAACGAUUUAAUUUCAGGAUGUAACGAUACAGCGAAACCCUAAGGUAGCCUGACGACAUAAUUCAAGUAGCCUUUUCUGGAGGAUGUAUAACUUGAAAAUCUAGUUCUACAGUAGAACUAAUUUUCAUCUACAGCAUCCCAACUUAAUUAUAUCCCUCCAUUCUGAAGGAUCCACUACUGAACCAUGCAAAACAAACAACUGAGUACCUUCAGAACAAAAAAAUUACAGCAUUUCGAACAGUAUAAAACAAAGAGCAGCCAUGCCAAUAAAAUAACAAUAAAUUCUGUGAUACAUCAGAGAAACAAGGGACUGCAGCACAGAUUCGACAGCAGUUACAUCUAAUUUAAAUAAGACUAGAUCUAUAGCGUAUUUUCAAUCAUAAGGUAGGAUCCCAACUUAAUUCAAGCCAUCCAUUCCUAAGGAUCUAAUUUGACAAUCUAACAUAGAACAGAUCUCACAUACAAGGGACUACAGCAUGCCAAACAACAGAGAAUAAAACAUGCAGAUAUGAAGGAAUAAUAAAUCUGUAAUUAAUCUCAGAGACAAGGCACUGCAUGACGAAUUCGACAGCAGCCGCAUCCGACUAUUCAGAACAAAUCAUAUCACAUCGUGCGGGUAAGAACAGAACAGGGACCGCACGCAACCACGGAGAUCUCAUCUAACAGACGAUGCAUGAUACACAGCGGGUCAAGAGGGAGGGAGGGAGGGUGGCACGUACCGAAGACGGUGUUGGUGGGGUUCAUGGCGACCUGGUUCUUGGCGGCGUCGCCGAUGAGGCGCUCGGUGUCGGUGAAGGCGACGUAGGAGGGCGUGGUGCGGUUGCCCUGGUCGUUGGCGAUGAUCUCGACGCGGUCAUGCUGCCACACGCCGACGCAGGAGUAGGUCGUCCCGAGGUCGAUGCCGAUCGCCGGCCCCUCGCCCUUGGCCAUCUCCGCCUCCUCUCCUCUCCUUGGAAUCGCUCGCUCGCUUUGGGGGUUCGCCGGAAGACGGUAACGGCGGCGCUCUCUGUGUUUCGCCUGGUGCGAUUUGCUUUGCCU
RNAcentral lists this long non-coding RNA (2438 nucleotides) under Triticum aestivum (bread wheat). RNAcentral describes it as "long non-coding RNA (TAES_LNC007962)". Lineage: Eukaryota; Viridiplantae; Streptophyta; Magnoliopsida; Poales; Poaceae. The record is from RNAcentral.